UCUACGGGAGGCUGCAGUGGGGAAUAUUGGACAAUGGGGGGAACCCUGAUCCAGCCAUGCCGCGUGUGUGAAGAAGGCCCUCGGGUUGUAAAGCACUUUCAGUGAGGAAGAACGCCUGGUGGUUAAUACCCAUCAGGAAAGACAUCACUCACAGAAGAAGCACCGGCUAACUCCGUGCCAGCAGCCGCGGUAAUACGGAGGGUGCGAGCGUUAAUCGGAAUUACUGGGCGUAAAGCGCGCGUAGGUGGCUUGAUAAGCCGGUUGUGAAAGCCCCGGGCUCAACCUGGGAACGACAUCCGGAACUGUCAAGCUAGAGUGCAGGAGAGGAAGGUAGAAUUCCCGGUGUAGCGGUGAAAUGCGUAGAGAUCGGGAGGAAUACCAGUGGCGAAGGCGGCCUUCUGGACUGACACUGACACUGAGGUGCGAAAGCGUGGGUAGCAAACAGGAUUAGAUACCCGUGUAGUC
This 465-nucleotide ribosomal RNA is filed under the name Vreelandella stevensii. RNAcentral's name for it is "partial 16S ribosomal RNA". It matches the Rfam family "Bacterial small subunit ribosomal RNA", at positions 338 to 795 of the family's 1533-position model. Lineage: Bacteria; Pseudomonadati; Pseudomonadota; Gammaproteobacteria; Oceanospirillales; Halomonadaceae. The record is from RNAcentral.